GAUGAACGCUGGCGGCGUGCCUAAUACAUGCAAGUCGAGCGAACGGACGAGAAGCUUGCUUCUCUGAUGUUAGCGGCGGACGGGUGGGUAACACGUGGAUAACCUACCUAUAAGACUGGGACAACUUCGGGAAACCGUAGCUAAUACCGGAUAAUAUUUUGAACCGCAUGGUUCAAAAGUGAAAGACGGUCUUGCUGUCACUUAUAGAUGGAUCCGCGCUGCAUUAGCUAGUUGGUAAGGUAACGGCUUACCAAGGCAACGAUGCAUAGCCGACCUGAGAGGGUGAUCGGCCACACUGGAACUGAGACACGGUCCAGACUCCUACGGGAGGCAGCAGUAGGGAAUCUUCCGCAAUGGGCGAAAGCCUGACGGAGCAACGCCGCGUGAGUGAUGAAGGUCUUCGGAUCGUAAAACUCUGUUAUUAGGGAAGAACAUAUGUGUAAGUAACUGUGCACAUCUUGACGGUACCUAAUCAGAAAGCCACGGCUAACUACGUG
This 497-nucleotide ribosomal RNA is filed under the name uncultured bacterium. Its description in RNAcentral is "partial 16S ribosomal RNA". It matches the Rfam family "Bacterial small subunit ribosomal RNA", at positions 28 to 507 of the family's 1533-position model. The record is from RNAcentral.